This 497-nucleotide ribosomal RNA is filed under the name uncultured bacterium. Its description in RNAcentral is "partial 16S ribosomal RNA". It matches the Rfam family "Bacterial small subunit ribosomal RNA", at positions 28 to 507 of the family's 1533-position model. The record is from RNAcentral.
GAUGAACGCUGGCGGCGUGCCUAAUACAUGCAAGUCGAGCGAACAGACGAUGAGCUUGCUCCUCUGACGUUAGCGGUGGACGGGUGAGUAACACGUGGAUAACCUACCUAUAAGACUGGGAUAACUUCGGGAAACCGGAGCUAAUACCGGAUAACAUGUUGAACCGCAUGGUUCAACAGUUAAAGACGGUCUUGCUGUCACUUAUAGAUGGAUCCGCGCCGCAUUAGCUAGUUGGUAAGGUAACGGCUUACCAAGGCAACGAUGCGUAGCCGACCUGACAGGAUGAUAAGCCACACGGGAACUGAGACACGGUCCAGACUCCUACGGGAGGCAGCAGUGGGGAAUAGUGGACAAUGGGCGCAAGCCUGAUCCAGCCAUACCGCGUGGGUGAAGAAGGCCUUCGGGUUGUAAAGCCCUUUUGUGGGGAAAGAAAAGCAGCAGGUUAAUACCCCGCUGUUCUGACGGUACCCAAAGAAUAAGCACCGGCUAACUUCGUG